UGAGUUUGAUCAUGGCUCAGAACGUACGCUGGCGGCACGCCUAACACGUGCAAGUCGAACGAAGUAGCAAUACUUAGUGGCAGACGGGUGAGUAACAUGUAGGUAUCUGCCCUUUGGCCUGGAAUAACACGAGGAAACUUGUGCUAAUACCGGAUAAGUCUUUACGGAGAAAGCUUUAUGCACCAUUGGAUGAGCCUGCACUUGAUUAGUUUGUUGGUAGGGUAAUGGCCUACCAAGACUUUGAUCAAUAGCUGAUUUGAGAGGAUGAUCAGCCACAUUGGGACUGAGACACGGCCCAAACUCCUACGGGAGGCAGCAGUGGGGAAUCUUGCACAAUGGAGGAAACUCUGAUGCAGCGAUGCCGCGUGAGUGAAGAAGGCCCUUGGGUUGUAAAGCUCUUUCGUCGGGAAAGAAAAUGACUGUACCCGAAUAAGAAGGUCCGGCUAACUUCGUGCCAGCAG
Molecule: ribosomal RNA, 461 nt
Filed under: uncultured Alphaproteobacteria bacterium
Lineage: Bacteria; Pseudomonadati; Pseudomonadota; Alphaproteobacteria
Description: bacterial SSU rRNA
Rfam family: Bacterial small subunit ribosomal RNA
Source: RNAcentral